RNAcentral lists this ribosomal RNA (207 nucleotides) under uncultured bacterium. RNAcentral's name for it is "partial 16S ribosomal RNA". It matches the Rfam family "Bacterial small subunit ribosomal RNA", at positions 568 to 774 of the family's 1533-position model. The record is from RNAcentral.
UGCGUAGGUGGCGCCGUAAGUCGGGUGUGAAAUUUCGGAGCUUAACUCCGAAACUGCAUUCGAUACUGCGGUGCUUGAGGACUGGAGAGGAGACUGGAAUUCAUGGUGUAGCAGUGAAAUGCGUAGAGAUCAUGAGGAAGACCAGUGGCGAAGGCGGGUCUCUGGACAGUUCCUGACACUGAGGCACGGAGGCCAGGGGAGCAAACG